AUUCAGGCCUAGUGUAUCUAGGACUACUUAUCUAAUGUAUAGUACAGGAGUUUGUAGCUAUAGUUGUUUCUUAGCCCUAGGUUUGUCCUGAUCCAGACAGGACUAUGACCAAAGAUGUUCCAGCUGUGACCAUCCCUUCUUUUAUUCAGGCAUAGUGUAUCUAGGACUACAUUAUCUAAUGUGUCAGUAGCUAUAGUUGUUGCUUAGCCCUAGGUCAGUCCUGAUCCAGACAGGCCUAUGAUCUAAGAUGUUCCAGCUGUGACCAUCCCAUCUUUUAUUCAGGCCUAGUGUAUCUAGGACUACAUUAUCUAAUGUAUGGUACAGGAGUUAGUAGCUAUAGUUGUUGCUUAGC
Molecule: long non-coding RNA, 352 nt
Organism: Octopus sinensis (East Asian common octopus)
Lineage: Eukaryota; Metazoa; Mollusca; Cephalopoda; Octopoda; Octopodidae
Exons: 3
Source: RefSeq, a predicted model, not a curated record